UAUAUUUUAGUGUAUGAUGCACAAAAAGUUUUGAUCUUUUAAGGUUUAGUUUAAUUCUAAAAAAUAUAA
Molecule: transfer RNA, 69 nt
Filed under: Triatoma migrans
Lineage: Eukaryota; Metazoa; Arthropoda; Insecta; Hemiptera; Reduviidae
Description: tRNA-Gln
Source: RNAcentral